This is a small nuclear RNA of Callithrix jacchus (white-tufted-ear marmoset), 123 nucleotides long. Its record names the gene U5. It matches the Rfam family "U5 spliceosomal RNA". From Rfam's summary of the family: U5 RNA is a component of both types of known spliceosome. The precise function of this molecule is unknown, though it is known that the 5' loop is required for splice site selection and p220 binding, and that both the 3' stem-loop and the Sm site are important for Sm protein binding and cap methylation. NCBI's taxonomy places the organism in Eukaryota, Metazoa, Chordata, Mammalia, Primates, Cebidae. The record is from Ensembl.
UCACAUCAAGAAAAAGCCAGUGUGUAUAAAUCUUUUGCCUUUUACUAAAGAUUUCCAUGGAAAAAGCCAUGUAGCUGUGUGCAUCUAUUUAUUUUUUUGUUUUUUAAAUCAGCAAAUUAAAAU